Non-coding RNA from Desulfosporosinus sp. BRH_c37, 157 nucleotides. NCBI's taxonomy places the organism in Bacteria, Bacillati, Bacillota, Clostridia, Eubacteriales, Desulfitobacteriaceae. The record is from Rfam.
UACGUAAGCAGAAUAGCAAACUUCCGUGUAAGCGACCCCAGAUACGGGGCAGCGAACAAGGAUGUGAGCUGCCGACAUAGCGCCAUGGACGGCGCUUAUGUCGGGAACCCCGCACCCACUUUAGGAGCUUACACGGUUAGUUUGCUCUGCGUCGUAU